CCUACGGGAGGCAGCAGUGGGGAAUAUUGGGCAAUGGGCGCAAGCCUGACCCAGCAUCGCCGCGUGAAGGAAGAAGGCUUUCGGGUUGUAAACUUCUUUUGUCAGGGACGAAGCAAGUGACGGUACCUGACGAAUAAGCCACGGCUAACUACGUGCCAGCAGCCGCGGUAAUACGUAGGUGGCAAGCGUUAUCCGGAUUUAUUGGGUGUAAAGGGCGUGUAGGCGGGAAUGCAAGUCAGAUGUGAAAACUAUGGGCUCAACCCAUAGCCUGCAUUUGAAACUGUAUUUCUUGAGUGCUGGAGAGGCAGACGGAAUUCCUAGUGUAGCGGUGAAAUGCGUAGAUAUUAGGAGGAACACCAGUGGCGAAGGCGGUCUGCUGGACAGCAACUGACGGUGAGGCGCGAAAGCGUGGGGAGCAAACAGGAUUAGAUACCCUGGUAGUC
This 443-nucleotide ribosomal RNA is filed under the name uncultured bacterium. RNAcentral describes it as "partial 16S ribosomal RNA". It matches the Rfam family "Bacterial small subunit ribosomal RNA", at positions 338 to 795 of the family's 1533-position model. The record is from RNAcentral.